UUUUAACCGAGAACAACUCUCAACAACGGAUAUCUUGGCUCUCGCAACGAUGAAGAACGCAGCGAAAUGCGAUACGUAGUGUGAAUUGCAGAAUUCCGUGAACCAUCGAAUCUUUGAACGCAUAUUGCACUCGACCCCUCGGGGAAGAGUAUGUCUGCCUCAGCGUCGGUUU
RNAcentral lists this ribosomal RNA (172 nucleotides) under Desmodesmus sp. F44. Its description in RNAcentral is "5.8S ribosomal RNA". The stretch from base 15 to 168 matches the Rfam family "5.8S ribosomal RNA". Rfam says of the family: 5.8S ribosomal RNA (5.8S rRNA) is a component of the large subunit of the eukaryotic ribosome. It is transcribed by RNA polymerase I as part of the 45S precursor that also contains 18S and 28S rRNA. Lineage: Eukaryota; Viridiplantae; Chlorophyta; Chlorophyceae; Sphaeropleales; Scenedesmaceae. The record is from RNAcentral.